RNAcentral lists this ribosomal RNA (305 nucleotides) under uncultured bacterium. RNAcentral's name for it is "bacterial SSU rRNA". It matches the Rfam family "Bacterial small subunit ribosomal RNA", at positions 337 to 652 of the family's 1533-position model. The record is from RNAcentral.
GCCUACGGGGCGCAGCAGUAGGGAAUUUUCGGCAAUGGGGGGAACCCUGACCGAGCAACGCCGCGUGAACGAAGAAGUUAUUCGUAAUGUAAAGUUCUUUUAUCAGGGAAGAAAGAGGAAUUUGACGGUACCUGAGGAAUAAGCUCCGGCUAACUCCGUGCCAGCAGCCGCGGUAAUACGGGGGAUGCGAGCGUUAUCCGGAUUUAUUGGGUUUAAAGGGUGCGUAGGCGGCGCUUCAGGUCAGCGGUGAAAUACCGGGGCUCAACCCCGGGGCUGCCGUUGAAACCGGAGCGCUAGAAUUCCGA